RNAcentral lists this ribosomal RNA (497 nucleotides) under uncultured bacterium. RNAcentral describes it as "partial 16S ribosomal RNA". It matches the Rfam family "Bacterial small subunit ribosomal RNA", at positions 28 to 507 of the family's 1533-position model. The record is from RNAcentral.
GAUGAACGCUGGCGGCGUGCCUAAUACAUGCAAGUCGAGCGAACGGACGAGAAGCUUGCUUCUCUGAUGUUAGCGGCGGACGGGUGAGUAACACGUGGAUAACCUACCUAUAAGACUGGGAUAACUUCGGGAAACCGGAGCUAAUACCGGAUAAUAUUUUGAACCGCAUGGUUCAAAAGUGAAAGACGGUCUUGCUGUCACUUAUAGAUGGAUCCGCGCUGCAUUAGCUAGUUGGUAAGGUAACGGCUUACCAAGGCAACGAUGUAUAGCCGACCUGAGAGGGGGAUCGGCCACACUGGAACUGGGACACGGUCCAGACUCCUACGGGAGGCAGCAGUAGGGAAUCUUCCGCAAUGGGCGAAAGCCUGACGGAGCAACGCCGCGUGGGUGAUGAAGGUCUUCGGAUCGUAAAACUCUGUUAUUAGGGAAGAACAUAUGUGUAAGUAACUGUGCACAUCGUGACGGUACCUAAUCAGAAAGCCACGGCUAACUACGUG